RNAcentral lists this long non-coding RNA (671 nucleotides) under Capsicum annuum. RNAcentral's name for it is "long non-coding RNA (CANN_LNC013523)". The record is from RNAcentral. Lineage: Eukaryota; Viridiplantae; Streptophyta; Magnoliopsida; Solanales; Solanaceae.
UUCUUUCAAAAAUCCACAUGCACACUAUAUAUAAACAAGCCUAGCUCCACGAUUUACAAUAGACUAACUGAGAUAAAUAAUAUGUGGAAUAUAGAACAAGCUAUUUAUAUAUUUUGCUCAUUGAUUAAUUAUAGGCCACUCAAAAGUUGUCACAUAUAAAAGAUUUAUCUAAAAAUUAUAAUAAGCUAGCUAGUGAUAUCAGAAACCCUAAUACCUUCAUGUAGACCUCAGCUAAACUAAAAGAUCCAAAUAUUGUAUAUAAACAUAUACAUUCCUAGUAAUAUAUAACAAAUAAAAAAGACUAGGACUAAUUCAGAAAAAAGUUCCUCCUCCUCCUCCUUCAUUUAUCUGAAUUAAACGCAGUGACUUCGAUCAAACACAUCACAUUUCUACUCUAAGUACAUCAUUAAUUGCCAAAAAUCUCCAAUAAAUUCAUGCAGCAGGAGCAUAAUCAUAGUCUGCAUCAUCGUCAUCGCCUUCUAAGGAUGGUGCGGGAGCAUAAUCAUAAUCUCUAUCAUCAUCAUCUCCAUCUGAACAUGACCUUCUCUUCUGAAAUCUUGUGAUCUUGAAAAUGCCUGACAUUGUGUAUAUAUAUUCUUGAAAUAUAUAUGAUAUAUUGUAUGUUGUAUAUAUCUCUUUGAUAUGAUAUGAUCAAGAAUAUAUGGUUUUUG